GUGUGUAUAGCUCAGUGGUAGAGCGUGUGCUUAGUAAGCACAAGGUCCUGCGUUCAAUCCCUAGUACCUCCA
RNAcentral lists this transfer RNA (72 nucleotides) under Camelus bactrianus (Bactrian camel). It matches the Rfam family "tRNA". Rfam says of the family: Transfer RNA (tRNA) molecules are approximately 80 nucleotides in length. Their secondary structure includes four short double-helical elements and three loops (D, anti-codon, and T loops). RNAcentral also lists the same sequence under 3 other names. Lineage: Eukaryota; Metazoa; Chordata; Mammalia; Artiodactyla; Camelidae. The record is from Rfam by way of RNAcentral.